RNAcentral lists this ribosomal RNA (1456 nucleotides) under uncultured organism. RNAcentral describes it as "SSU rRNA". It matches the Rfam family "Bacterial small subunit ribosomal RNA". The record is from RNAcentral.
GAUGAACGCUAUCUACAGGCUUAACACAUGCAAGUCGAGGGGCAGCAUGGUCUUAGCUUGCUAAGGCCGAUGGCGACCGGCGCACGGGUGAGUAACACGUAUCCAACCUGCCGUCUACUCCUGGACAGCCUUCUGAAAGGAAGAUUAAUACAAGAUGGCAUCAUGAGUCCGCAUGUUCACAUGAUUAAAGGUAUUCCGGUAGACGAUGGGGAUGCGUUCCAUUAGAUAGUAGGCGGGGUAACGGCCCACCUAGUCUUCGAUGGAUAGGGGUUCUGAGAGGAAGGUCCCCCACAUUGGAACUGAGACACGGUCCAAACUCCUACGGGAGGCAGCAGUGAGGAAUAUUGGUCAAUGGGCGAGAGCCUGAACCAGCCAAGUAGCGUGAAGGAUGACUGCCCUAUGGGUUGUAAACUUCUUUUAUAAAGGAAUAAAGUCGGGUAUGGAUACCCGUUUGCAUGUACUUUAUGAAUAAGGAUCGGCUAACUCCGUGCCAGCAGCCGCGGUAAUACGGAGGAUCCGAGCGUUAUCCGGAUUUAUUGGGUUUAAAGGGAGCGUAGAUGGAUGUUUAAGUCAGUUGUGAAAGUUUGCGGCUCAACCGUAAAAUUGCAGUUGAUACUGGAUAUCUUGAGUGCAGUUGAGGCAGGCGGAAUUCGUGGUGUAGCGGUGAAAUGCUUAGAUAUCACGAAGAACUCCGAUUGCGAAGGCAGCCUGCUAAGCUGCAACUGACAUUGAGGCUCGAAAGUGUGGGUAUCAAACAGGAUUAGAUACCCUGGUAGUCCACACGGUAAACGAUGAAUACUCGCUGUUUGCGAUAUACUGCAAGCGGCCAAGCGAAAGCGUUAAGUAUUCCACCUGGGGAGUACGCCGGCAACGGUGAAACUCAAAGGAAUUGACGGGGGCCCGCACAAGCGGAGGAACAUGUGGUUUAAUUCGAUGAUACGCGAGGAACCUUACCCGGGCUUAAAUUGCAGAUGAAUUACGGUGAAAGCCGUAAGCCGCAAGGCAUCUGUGAAGGUGCUGCAUGGUUGUCGUCAGCUCGUGCCGUGAGGUGUCGGCUUAAGUGCCAUAACGAGCGCAACCCUUGUUGUCAGUUACUAACAGGUUCCGCUGAGGACUCUGACAAGACUGCCAUCGUAAGAUGUGAGGAAGGUGGGGAUGACGUCAAAUCAGCACGGCCCUUACGUCCGGGGCUACACACGUGUUACAAUGGGGGGUACAGAGGGCCGCUACCACGCGAGUGGAUGCCAAUCCCCAAAACCUCUCUCAGUUCGGACUGGAGUCUGCAACCCGACUCCACGAAGCUGGAUUCGCUAGUAAUCGCGCAUCAGCCACGGCGCGGUGAAUACGUUCCCGGGCCUUGUACACACCGCCCGUCAAGCCAUGGGAGCCGGGGGUACCUGAAGUGCGUAACCGCGAGGAGCGCCCUAGGGUAAAACUGGUGACUGGGGCUAAGUCG